UACGAAGGUCCCGAGCGUUGUUCGGAAUCACUGGGCGUAAAGGGAGCGUAGGCGGCAUGGUAAGUCAGAUGUGAAAUCCCGGGGCUCAACCCCGGAACUGCAUCCGAUACUGCCUUGCUUGAGGGUUGGAGAGGUAGCUGGAAUUAUCGGUGUAGCAGUGAAAUGCGUGGAUAUCGAUAGGAACACUCGUGGCGAAGGCGAGCUACUGGACAACAUCUGACG
This 222-nucleotide ribosomal RNA is filed under the name uncultured bacterium. RNAcentral's name for it is "partial 16S ribosomal RNA". It matches the Rfam family "Bacterial small subunit ribosomal RNA", at positions 524 to 745 of the family's 1533-position model. The record is from RNAcentral.